GGCGGGCGGGUGCGGGGCAGCGGCUGCAGCCGCCCGGGGCCGGGGCCGGUUCUGCCCCCGCGCUGCCCGGUGUGCUCCCAGCCGCAGCCUCACCCGCUGCCCGAGGGCUCCGCGCGAGAGUUUCGUUUCUUGUCUGUUGCUAUUUUUCCAUCCCCGCACAAAGAGAGCCCUUCUCUCAGACAAAGCAUCCGGCCGCGCUACCCCGGGAGGACGGCGGGGGCUCGGGUUCUGCGGCCGGUGUCGCUCCGGGAGGGUCGGGGAGCGUUACGUGCUCGGGGCGACCCGCUCCUGCUGGGGGAAGCGCGGCCGGCAGGUGCCUGGGGAGCGGCACGGACCCGGUAGCACCGCUCUCUGCUUCCUCCCCGCCCGGCUUCGGCUGCACGACAAAGUGCGGUGGGGCGGCAGCAGGAGGAAGGAGCAGAGCAACGGUUCGUCCCGCAUUGGCUCUCGUUUCUCCGAAAGCGUGUGUGCUUUCCUCCUGGAGACAGACGGGGAUGUGACUCAGAGAUGUCUCUCUGCUCUCCUACCCUCAUCUCCUGUCGUUCUGUGAAUAAAAGGUUACGGCAGUAUGUAGGCUCACUAGGAAUUUUCAUACAGCCCCUGCAAAAGACUGAGAUGCACUGCGCUGUAAAAUACCGCUCACAUUGCAGGGGCAGAGUAGCUAGAAAAAGAGAUCCCUCUGUACUAACCUCGCAUGCUGCGAGCAGGAGGGAUUGAGCCAAGAGGAGCAAACACUCCCCCUAGCCCUGCUGCCUCGGGCUGUCCCAGACACCGACCCGACCUUCCCACACCACCGGGAUGGUGCUCAGUGAGUGACACCUAUGGAGCCCCUCACCUACGCCCUGGCUGGUGAGGGGACCAAAUUCCAUCACAGCAGCUCCGGAGACAUCUCUAGGAAAAGCUGAUUUCCUCGGCUGGUUCGUGCAGAAGCACGGGGAGAUGCACUGGUUGCAGGCAGGACGCCAGGUGCAGCGUGCCACAGCCACAGCAUCACGACUCCAGAGCGCUCCCUGAUUUCCCAGUAUCCGAGCCGAUGGGAAAAAUGAAUAGACCUCAAACUGAAAGAUAGAUGCAGGUAUAAGAUAGACGCAGCUAAUUGAAGAGCUAUCUCCUCUGACAGCCUGGUUUAAACUAAUUACACGAUGUAGUGCAUGCUGCCACCUACACCUUAUGAAUCAGGUUUCUCGUGUACUGCAGCUCAGCAUCCGCAGGCAUCCCUGCGAGACUCCACGAGGAACCGCAAACCCAGGCGGCCACAGCCGUGCUAGGGAGCGAGGCAGAGCAUCUCCCAGCGGCUCAGCUGCAGCAAGGAUGCUUUGAUGCCGGCGAGGAAGCGGUUCAGCAUCAGCAAAACACAAGUAGAGGCUGGAGCCUCAUCUGUGCCGUGGCUCCUGCCAGCACAGCUGUACCACUGACAGCAGCGGAACAUUUUGCUCAAGUUCUCUAGAGGAAUCAAAGCCUGUAUUCUCUGUCUCUGGCUCUCUCUUGUUCUGUUGUUCCUCGUCCUUUAGAAAAAAAAAAAAAAUUCAGCCGCACACAGCACGUGGCUGCUCUCUGUGUUUGGGGGAAAAAAAAAAAAGUGUUUGGGGGAAGGAAAGAAAACCAGCCCAAGCUGUUUUGAAGUCAGAAGUGUGUAAACAGUACCUGGAACUAAGGGGAACAAUGAUAUUAAUUCAUCCUUUUGUGCCAUAAAUAUGUGCAUCGCUGUCUGCUGUUUCAUUACGAGACAGCACAACUGCUGCGAUGGAGCCCGGUGAACGUUGGGGUGCCUGUGGCCGUGGCACCACUAAUGCCUCCUCCAGCUCUUACAUAACCGGCGUCACAAGUCAGAGCCCAAAUUGCAAAGCAUAAGCAUGAGCAUCAUAUUAAGCAUGCAAACUGUGCCUUAAAUUACUGUCCUUUUACUGUCGGUCUGGCUUUAAUCUAUGACUGUUUUUAGUUCUGCAGUCCCUUUGAUUUCAGUACGCGGUGGUGCCAUGAAUAGCAGUACCAAGCAUCUCCCCUUCAAGAGCCCACCAUGAAAACGUUCAUCCAAACUGAAAUAAGUUAGGCCGAAACCACUUUGGUUACAGGUAAAUACAGCCCAAAUGACUUGUAUACCAGACCUAAAGCAUAUCCAGUAGUGUGAUGCUAUAGAAAGUCAGGAUACAACGCUCCUGUGCUUUGCACAUCACCCAGUGUGGCUGGGUUUUGCACACCUGUCCAAGGCACAGCUUAGCAAUGGUCUUCCUUUGUGUUCUGCCUCUUUCCUACAGACUAUGUUCCCCAUUCGCACGCAGAUCUCCUUUCUGGAGUUUUAAGGUGUUAGGUGCUGAUAUUGUGAGCACCUCUUGUAUCUGUUUAAUCCAAUAAUAGAACUCGUCUUUAAUCUCCACGUCUGGGUCACAGGUUUUAAAAAAGACACGGGGCCAAAUCCCCAGCUUGGCUCUAGCACAUGGAAAUCUACCGAGACGGCACAGAAGUCGGGAGAGAUUCGCUGUGUCUGCACCAUGGGAAGGAGGUCUCAAGGGGCAGCGGUGGGACUGCCUCAUUUCACAGAUGGAUGCAUAUUAACGUGAGCGUAUGGCAGAGCCUGCCAGUUUAGGACUAGGAAUACCUUUACACUUCGCAAUCCUCCAGAAGUGCUACAGGAACAGAGAUUGCACUGCCCACUGAGCAGCAUCCCAGAGCUGGCUGUUCCCCUCCCUGACAUACUGCAGUACACCCCAGCCUUGCUGGUUGCCACUCCACAGCUAUUUCUGCCUCUGCACCCAACAGCCUGUCGCAUGAUGUCAUGAUAUGGAAUACUGAUAAAACCAGGACAGGGUCCUACGGCAUGUAUAUGGGGCAUCUCAUAAAGGGAAAGCUGCUGCAAACAGACAAUGCAGACAAACAUAGAGGCUUUGAGGAGUCCUGAAUCUGAAUCGACACGCAUGGCUAUCAAGUUUCACUUGGUAAAGGGGGUUGUCUGCAGCACCACAUACAUGAAAGAUGAAGUUCCUUUGAAAGGGGGCUCGUGUGAGCCGUUGCAUUACUUCACAUUCAGAUUGAGCAAUCAGCAGCUCAGCAGUUGACCUCUGGCUUUGAUUCUCAAUACCUAGAAGCAUCUGGCAUGAAGAAAUCCCUUAGAGAAGGCACAGGGAAAGAAAGAGCUGCACUAAUUAAGCUAUGCAAAAUGCUUUGGAGAAGGCUGCUUCACGUCAAGGAUAUCCUGAUGUUUCUGAGCCAUUACGAGUAACAGCAGCAGGAAAUUUUCAUGAAAUUAUUUUGUGGUGUGCUUAACUGAGACAUAAAGGAAAGGAAAUCAGUAGAAUUCAAAAUCAAUUUCUCCCUUACAGCUAAAACAUGUCAGCUUGCAUGACUUAGUAAAUAUUCCUAGCCACUAAUGUGCCUUUAUUUUGAUUGCACAGGAGGUAAAUCAUCCUCAUAAGCAUGGUGGAAAACCACAUUGGCCUGGUACAUUUAUGAUGAAUUCCUUGCUUACAGUGCAGAUGUAAAUGAAACAGCCCUAUUGCCACAUCCUGCUUAGCACUUAAACACCAUUUUAAUAAUUUAUUUUCAUCAUUUGAACUUAAGAACACAGAGGAAUUUUCUGAAUGUUACGUACAAAAAGUAUUUAUUUCUUAGAGUGAACCUGUAAAAACGCAACCCCUUUAAAUAGUUAUCAAUGAUGAGCUCAGAGCAAGGACCAAACUCUGCAUGUUUUGGAAUUCCAGGUUUAGUUCAUACUCAUCACAUGAGAGCAAUACCUCCACCCUCUGCUAAACUGCAACAGCCUUCCAUACUUCUCCACGCUGAUGAAGAUAAAAGGAACUGGUUGUGAUCAGUAUGGAAGAGACACAACUAAUAAUAGUCCUUCCCACCCAGACAGAUUUUUUUUUCAGUGUCAGGAAGAAAACACUAACAGAAAGGACUGGAUACACAACCUCUAACACUGCUUUGUACCUCCGUUUAUUUAACUUUUGCACCAGGGUGACAGUUUGCUACUACUGCUAGCUGAAACAACUAUUACUGCAGUGGAAGUGACUAAUGAGCCUGAGAAGUAUCUGUAUAAGGACAGCUUACACUUACAGAACAUUCUGCCUCUGACCUCCUAACCACAGCAGUGUCCUGCAGAGAGGGUAGUCCUGAUCCCAAUGAAUGGGAGACCGCUGACUGGGAAAAGCAGCAACAUCUCUCAUGUCGCCAAGGAAGAAAACUAUCCAACUCUUCCAUUGCAACAUUUCCACUGGACCAAAACCAAAACAAGCAUUCAGCUUGGUUGUACUUGAGAGUGGCUUUUCAAGUAAUUACCUGGGCCUCCUAUUCUUCCUCCAGCUCUGGACUGUGCCUUCACUCCUCUCGUGCACAGCUUGGGUGGGCAGAUCCCGGCGCCUGCUCUGCAUUUUCCAGUGCUCUCAUGUACCAGCCUAAGCUGCCUUGUAGGGGAAUAAGCUAUUUGCAGGUUUAAUACGAUAAGGAACAAGAGAGUAUUUAUUUCUGUUGUUUUAUUUGCAUAAAGAAUAAUAACUGUCUCUCUCUGUCUCACCCUUGUGCUAUUAAUAAAGCCCAUGUGAGGAAUAUAGAAAUGUACGUCACACGUGGAACCUGUCAACAUAACUAGUCUGUGGUCGGAAUACUUUCCAUGCUGUGUGUCUCCAUAUAGCCCAUCUUUUGGGGACAUGUGACCCAGAAAUGUGUCAUCAGGACACAUGCAGUCACCAGACUGAUGAAAGGAAUUCAGGAGAAAGAGAUUCAAUAAUGCUGCUUCUUUCAGCCUCUGUUCAGCUUGUUGCUAUUGCUCUCUGGAAGUCAGAGACACAAAAAGAUGCUGUUGUCCCCAUAUUAGCCUUGCUUUUACCUUUUAUACAGAUUUUAUGCAAUGCCAUAUUUUUCCAGAGACUUAAGAAAAAUGAACUAAAAAUCCACAGAUCUGAGUUUCUAAAAGCAAAUAAUCACUCCCAUGCAAUAGCUGAAAGGCAAAUUUGUACCUAAAGACAUGCAACUAGCAUCACUAAUAUUUUUCAUUGCCCAAUCAAAAUGUUAAAAAUAAAAAUAAACAGAGCACACACAGAGAAAAAUACACUGGAUUUUAACAUUCUUUCACAAUUCAUAACCAAACUGCGGUCAGCAACAUGGUGCGAGAAAGAUGUUUGGUUAUAAGUCAUGACUUUAAUCAGACAGUCUCACUCACUGGUGUCUGGUGGAAACCUUCCAAAUUAAAUGGAUGUCCAAAUUAGAGACAUUCAGACUAAAGAUGAAACAUCACAAAUAAGCUCUUUUGUCUAGAAUAAAUAGAACCAAAACAGUCGAACUCUCAGGAAGAUAAGAGAUACAACACUGUUCCCUUGGGUAUCUUUGUUAGUGAUUAACCCAGUCUGUUUUAAAUGCCUGAAACAAUGAAACCAGUGGACAAGCUAUUCUCUGGGCACGAACUGCCCUCCUAAUCUCUGCUCACCAGGUCUCUCCACAGCCACAUCCUUCUGCUGCCCCACUUCUUCCUCCCAGCCUACAGCUGUGACUCACUCUAUUUAAUCAGCGUGGCCGUCAGGAUAUUCACCUACCAAACCAGAGCAACCCUUGAUCUCACUGCCAUGACACACUUUGUUUAUAACUUUCUCUCCCUGUGCCAAAUCUAAACUCAUGCUGUCAGCGCUUUGGGGCAAAGCUCCCAUCACUCAUGGCAUGAAGCCCCUCUUACACA
Molecule: long non-coding RNA, 5662 nt
Organism: Numida meleagris (helmeted guineafowl)
Lineage: Eukaryota; Metazoa; Chordata; Aves; Galliformes; Numididae
Exons: 2
Source: RefSeq, a predicted model, not a curated record